UACGUAGGGUGCAAGCGUUGUCCGGAAUUAUUGGGCGUAAAGAGCUCGUAGGCGGCUUGUCGCGUCGAAUGUGAAAUCUCAGGGCUCAACUCUGACAUUGCAUUCGAUACGGGCAGGCUAGAGUUCGGUAGGGGAGACUGGAAAUCCUGGUGUAGCGGUGAAAUGCGCAGAUAUCAGGAGGAACACCGAUGGCGAAGGCAGGUCUCUGGGCCGAUACUGACGCUGAGGAGCGAAAGCGUGGGGAGCGAACAGG
Molecule: ribosomal RNA, 253 nt
Filed under: uncultured bacterium
Lineage: Bacteria
Description: partial 16S ribosomal RNA
Rfam family: Bacterial small subunit ribosomal RNA
Source: RNAcentral